GACGAACGCUGGCGGCGUGCUUAACACAUGCAAGUCGAGCGGUAAGGCCCUUUCGGGGGUACACGAGCGGCGAACGGGUGAGUAACACGUGGGUGACCUGCCCUCAGCUCUGGGAUAAGCCUGGGAAACCGGGUCCAAUACCGGAUAUGACUCCAUGACGCAUGUUGUGGGGUGGAAAGCCUUGUGCGGCUGAGGAUGGGCCCGCGGCCUAUCAGCUUGUUGGUGGGGUGAUGGCCUACCAAGGCGACGACGGGUAGCCGGCCUGAGAGGGCGACCGGCCACACUGGGACUGAGACACGGCCCAGACUCCUACGGGAGGCAGCAGUGGGGAAUCUUGCGCAAUGGGCGAAAGCCUGACGCAGCGACGCCGCGUGAGGGAUGACGGCCU
This 388-nucleotide ribosomal RNA is filed under the name uncultured bacterium. RNAcentral's name for it is "bacterial SSU rRNA". It matches the Rfam family "Bacterial small subunit ribosomal RNA", at positions 28 to 417 of the family's 1533-position model. The record is from RNAcentral.